RNAcentral lists this ribosomal RNA (372 nucleotides) under uncultured bacterium. RNAcentral describes it as "bacterial SSU rRNA". It matches the Rfam family "Bacterial small subunit ribosomal RNA", at positions 527 to 896 of the family's 1533-position model. The record is from RNAcentral.
GUAGGGUGCGAGCGUUGUCCGGAAUUAUUGGGCGUAAAGGGCUCGUAGGCGGUCUGUUGCGUCGGGAGUGAAAACUCAGGGCUUAACCCUGAGCCUGCUUCCGAUACGGGCAGACUAGAGGUAUGCAGGGGAGAACGGAAUUCCUGGUGUAGCGGUGAAAUGCGCAGAUAUCAGGAGGAACACCGGUGGCGAAGGCGGUUCUCUGGGCAUUACCUGACGCUGAGGAGCGAAAGUGUGGGGAGCGAACAGGAUUAGAUACCCUGGUAGUCCACACCGUAAACGUUGGGCGCUAGGUGUGGGACUCAUUCCACGAGUUCCGUGCCGCAGCUAACGCAUUAAGCGCCCCGCCUGGGGAGUACGGCCGCAAGGCUA